This 737-nucleotide ribosomal RNA is filed under the name uncultured Acidobacteriota bacterium. RNAcentral's name for it is "bacterial SSU rRNA". It matches the Rfam family "Bacterial small subunit ribosomal RNA", at positions 32 to 775 of the family's 1533-position model. Lineage: Bacteria; Pseudomonadati; Acidobacteriota. The record is from RNAcentral.
AACGCUGGCGGCGUGCCUAACACAUGCAAGUCGAGCGAGAAAAGGGGGGCAACUCCCUGAGUACAGCGGCGCACGGGUGAGUAACACGUGGGUAAUCUGCCCUGGAGUGGGGAAUAACACCGGGAAACCGGUGCUAAUACCGCAUACGAUCACGAUGUCUGCGGACGUUGUGAUGAAAGGAGCAAUUCGCUCUAGGAGGAGCCCGCGGCUGAUUAGCUAGUUGGUGAGGUAAUGGCUCACCAAGGCUACGAUCAGUAUCCGGUCUGAGAGGACGGUCGGACACACUGGAACUGAGACACGGUCCAGACUCCUACGGGAGGCAGCAGUGGGGAAUUUUUGGCAAUGGGGGCAACCCUGACCAAGCAACGCCGCGUGGGUGAUGAAGUCUCUUGGGACGUAAAACCCUUUCGACGGGGAAGAAACCGCAAGGUUGACGGUACCCGUAGAAGAAGCCCCGGCUAACUCCGUGCCAGCAGCCGCGGUAAUACGGGGGGGGCAAGCGUUGUUCGGAAUUACUGGGCGUAAAGGGUGCGUAGGCGGUUCGCUAAGUUGGAUGUGAAAACUCUGGGCUCAACCCAGAGCCUGCAUCCAAAACUGGCGGGCUAGAGUUCUGGAGGGGAUAGCGGAAUUCCUGGUGUAGCGGUGAAAUGCGUAGAUAUCAGGAGGAACACCGGUGGCGAAGGCGGCUAUCUGGACAGAAACUGACGCUGAGGCACGAAAGCUAGGGGAGCAAACAG